UACGUAGGGUGCAAGCGUUGUCCGGAAUUAUUGGGCGUAAAGAGCUCGUAGGCGGUCUGUCGCGUCUGCUGUGAAAACUCAGGGCUUAACCCUGAGCUUGCAGUGGGUACGGGCAGACUAGAGUGCGGUAGGGGAGACUGGAAUUCCUGGUGUAGCGGUGAAAUGCGCAGAUAUCAGGAGGAACACCAAUUGCGAAGGCAGCUCGCUGGGAC
RNAcentral lists this ribosomal RNA (212 nucleotides) under uncultured bacterium. RNAcentral describes it as "partial 16S ribosomal RNA". It matches the Rfam family "Bacterial small subunit ribosomal RNA", at positions 524 to 735 of the family's 1533-position model. The record is from RNAcentral.